Molecule: long non-coding RNA, 367 nt
Organism: Asparagus officinalis (garden asparagus)
Lineage: Eukaryota; Viridiplantae; Streptophyta; Magnoliopsida; Asparagales; Asparagaceae
Exons: 3
Source: RefSeq, a predicted model, not a curated record
AUUACGAGGCCUGGGAGCAGCCAUUUCAUGUCCUGGAGAGUAUAUAUCGAGAUUGUUGGAGAUAUUUCAACAUCGAAGACAAUCCCGUAGGGUGGGAAUUUUUAUUUGGAUACAUGGGAAAGUUCAAGCAUUCUCUUCGGGAGUGGAGACAUGAGAUAAAGAAGAAAUGCUUUGAUUGUUUCACUCACAACUGGGAGAGGAUAUACAAGCGAGAUAAGAGGGUUGAGCCUGAGCACUUAGCUGCACUUAUAAUAUUGUGGGGCCAAGAGGAGCACCAGGAAAAAUGUAGGAGAAAUAAACUUAAUCGAUGGAAAAAAGAUUAUGAUCAUCAUACGGGGACUACUUCAUUUGCCCAGAUUGAGGAUCA